GAUGAACGCUGGCGGCGUGCCUAAUACAUGCAAGUCGAGCGAACGGACGAGAAGCUUGCUUCUCUGAUGUUAGCGGCGGACGGGUGAGUAACACGUGGAUAACCUACCUAUAAUACUGGGAUAACUUCGGGAAACCGGAGCUAAUACCGGAUAAUAUUUUGAACCGCAUGGUUCAAAAGUGAAAGACGGUCUUGCUGUCUCUUAUAGAUGGAUCCGCGCUGCAUUAGCUAGUUGGUAAGGUAACGGCUUACCAAGGCAACGAUGCAUAGCCGACCUGAGAGGGUGAUCGGCCACACUGGAACUGAGACACGGUCCAGACUCCUACGGGAGGCAGCAGUAGGGAAUCUUCCGCAAAGGGCGAAAGCCUGACGGAGCAACGCCGCGUGAGUGAUGAAGGUCUUCGGAUCGUAAAACUCUGUUAUUAGGGAAGAACAUAUGUGUAAGUAACUGUGCACAUCUUGACGGUACCUAAUCAGAAAGCCACGGCUAACUACGUG
Molecule: ribosomal RNA, 497 nt
Filed under: uncultured bacterium
Lineage: Bacteria
Description: partial 16S ribosomal RNA
Rfam family: Bacterial small subunit ribosomal RNA
Source: RNAcentral